UGUAACAUAUUUAUUUAUAUAAUGUUUAUAUAAAUAUUGUAUAAAAUAUAAUAUUUAUAUAAUUUAUAUAAUUUAGUUAUA
This 81-nucleotide microRNA precursor is filed under the name Cricetulus griseus (Chinese hamster). RNAcentral describes it as "mir-153". Lineage: Eukaryota; Metazoa; Chordata; Mammalia; Rodentia; Cricetidae. The record is from RNAcentral.